Molecule: ribosomal RNA, 423 nt
Filed under: uncultured bacterium
Lineage: Bacteria
Description: bacterial SSU rRNA
Rfam family: Bacterial small subunit ribosomal RNA
Source: RNAcentral
AAGACCUUGCGCUUUUGGAGCGGCCGAUGCCUGGUUAGCUUGUUGGUAAGGUAAAAGCUUACCAAGGCUUCGAUCAGUAGCUGGUCUGAGAGGACGACCAGCCACACUGGGACUGAGACACGGCCCAGACUCCUACGGGAGGCAGCAGUGGGGAAUUUUGGACAAUGGGGGCAACCCUGAUCCAGCCAUGCCGCGUGAGUGAAGAAGGCCUUCGGGUUGUAAAGCUCUUUCAGCCGGAACGAAACGGUUACGGAUAACACCCGUGACUACUGACGGUACCGAAAGAAGAAGCACCGGCUAACUACGUGCCAGCAGCCGCGGUAAUACGUAGGGUGCGAGCGUUAAUCGGAAUUACUGGGCGUAAAGGGUGCGCAGGCGGUUUUGUAAGUCAGAUGUGAAAUCCCCGGGCUUAACCUGGGAACU